GGCUCAGAUUGAACGCUGGCGGCAUGCCUUACACAUGCAAGUCGAACGGCAGCGGACCUUCGGGUGCCGGCGAGUGGCGAACGGGUGAGUAAUAUAUCGGAACGUACCUUUCAGUGGGGAUAACGUAGCGAAAGUUACGCUAAUACCGCAUAUUCUGUGAGCAGGAAAGCAGGGGAUCGCAAGACCUUGCGCUGAUUGAGCGGCCGAUAUCAGAUUAGCUAGUUGGUGAGGUAAAGGCUCACCAAGGCGACGAUCUGUAGCGGGUCUGAGAGGAUGAUCCGCCACACUGGAACUGAGACACGGUCCAGACUCCUACGGGAGGCAGCAGUGGGGAAUUUUGGACAAUGGGCGCAAGCCUGAUCCAGCCAUGCCGCGUGAGUGAAGAAGGCCUUCGGGUUGUAAAGCUCUUUCGGCCGGGAAGAAAUCGCACAGGUUAAUACCCUGUGUGGAUGACGGUACCGGAAUAAGAAGCACCGGCUAACUACGUG
This 488-nucleotide ribosomal RNA is filed under the name uncultured bacterium. RNAcentral describes it as "bacterial SSU rRNA". It matches the Rfam family "Bacterial small subunit ribosomal RNA", at positions 21 to 507 of the family's 1533-position model. The record is from RNAcentral.